Molecule: ribosomal RNA, 492 nt
Filed under: uncultured bacterium
Lineage: Bacteria
Description: partial 16S ribosomal RNA
Rfam family: Bacterial small subunit ribosomal RNA
Source: RNAcentral
AGUGAACGCUGGCGGUAGGCCUAACACAUGCAAGUCGAACGGCAGCACAGUAAUAGCUUGCUCUUACGGGUGGCGAGUGGCGGACGGGUGAGGAAUACAUCGGAAUCUACUUUUUCGUGGGGGAUAACGUAGGGAAACUUACGCUAAUACCGCAUACGACCUACGGGUGAAAGCAGGGGAUCUUCUGACCUUGCGCGAUUGAAUGAGCCGAUGUCGGAUUAGCUAGUUGGCGGGGUAAAGGCCCACCAAGGCGACGAUCCGUAGCUGGUCUGAGAGGAUGAUCAGCCACACUGGAACUGAGACACGGUCCAGACUCCUACGGGAGGCAGCAGUGGGGAAUAUUGGAAAAUGGGCGCAAGCCUGAUCCAGCCAUACCGCGUGGGUGAAGAAGGCCUUCGGGUUGUAAAGCCCUUUUGUUGGGAAAGAAAAGCAGCAGGUUAAUACCCCGCUGUUCUGACGGUACCCAAAGAAUAAGCACCGGCUAACUUCGUG